CACUCCUACGGGAGGCAGCAGUGGGGAAUAUUGCACAAUGGGCGCAAGCCUGAUGCAGCCAUGCCGCGUGUAUGAAGAAGGCCUUCGGGUUGUAAAGUACUUUCAGCGGGGAGGAAGGCAAUACGGUUAAUAACCGUGUUGAUUGACGUUACCCGCAGAAGAAGCACCGGCUAACUCCGUGCCAGCAGCCGCGGUAAUACGGAGGGUGCAAGCGUUAAUCGGAAUUACUGGGCGUAAAGCGCACGCAGGCGGUCUGUCAAGUCGGAUGUGAAAUCCCCGGGCUCAACCUGGGAACUGCAUUCGAAACUGGCAGGCUUGAGUCUUGUAGAGGGGGGUAGAAUUCCAGGUGUAGCGGUGAAAUGCGUAGAGAUCUGGAGGAAUACCGGUGGCGAAGGCGGCCCCCUGGACAAAGACUGACGCUCAGGCGCGAAAGCGUGGGGAGCAAACAGGAUUAGAAACCCUGGUAGUCCCAUGAU
Molecule: ribosomal RNA, 476 nt
Filed under: uncultured organism
Description: partial 16S ribosomal RNA
Rfam family: Bacterial small subunit ribosomal RNA
Source: RNAcentral